This 461-nucleotide ribosomal RNA is filed under the name uncultured bacterium. RNAcentral's name for it is "partial 16S ribosomal RNA". It matches the Rfam family "Bacterial small subunit ribosomal RNA", at positions 28 to 507 of the family's 1533-position model. The record is from RNAcentral.
GACGAACGCUGGCGGCGUGCUUAACACAUGCAAGUCGAGCGGAGAGGCCCUCCGGGUUCCUGAACGGCGAACGGGUGGGGAACACGUGAGUAAACUGCCCCCGACUUUUGGAUAACCCCCGGAAACGGGGGCCAAAACCGGAUACGACCCCACCUCGCCUGGGGGCCGGGGGGAAAGUUUUUCGGUUUGGGAUGGGCUCGCGGCCUAUCAGCUUGUUGGUGGGGUGGUGGCCUACCAAGGCGACGACGGGUAGCCGGCCUGAGAGGGCGACCGGCCACACUGGGACUGAGACACGGCCCAGACUCCUACGGGAGGCAGCAGUGGGGAAUAUUGCACAAUGGGCGGAAGCCUGAUGCAGCGACGCCGCGUGAGGGAUGACGGCCUUCGGGUUGUAAACCUCUUUCAGCAGGGACGAAGCGUAAGUGACGGUACCUGCAGAAGAAGCGCCGGCCAACUACGUG